This 420-nucleotide long non-coding RNA is filed under the name Citrus maxima (pomelo). Its description in RNAcentral is "long non-coding RNA (CMAX_LNC001942)". Lineage: Eukaryota; Viridiplantae; Streptophyta; Magnoliopsida; Sapindales; Rutaceae. The record is from RNAcentral.
AAAAGAGCAUUCUCUGAAAAUUAUCAGUAAGUUCGCAUCCCAAUGAUUCUUCUUCUAAUUUUUAUGUCUAUUGUUCACGACAGACAGUUACAAAUAACUAAUUUACAUUAAAUCAAGUUGAUUGACGCAUGUUUUUAUUUUUUCAAAAAUAAAAAGAGUCAUGAUGUAUCUACUCACAUUAUUUAUUUUUAUUUCAGUUUAGCUACCAGAAAGUGCUCUGCUUGGAUCAAAGGCAAACAAUGCCUCUAAGACAUUGUUCAGAAUGUUCCCACGGUUUCAUCAAAUCAAAUUUGCAUUCGUGCUUAAUCGGACUACUACCUUCCCAGAAAUUCUUUGAGGUUUUUUAAUAAGUUCCAAUGACUUGCAAAUGCCCACUUGCUAUGAAUUUCAGGACCCAGCUACUGUUUGACAAGAAUAAUU